This 254-nucleotide ribosomal RNA is filed under the name uncultured bacterium. RNAcentral's name for it is "partial 16S ribosomal RNA". It matches the Rfam family "Bacterial small subunit ribosomal RNA", at positions 524 to 776 of the family's 1533-position model. The record is from RNAcentral.
UACGUAGGGGGCAAGCGUUGUCCGGAUUUAUUGGGCGUAAAGAGCUCGUAGGCGGCUUGGCAAGUCGGGUGUGAAAACUUCAGGCUCAACCUGGAGCGGCCACUCGAUACUGCCAUGGCUUGAGUCCGGUAGGGGACCACGGAAUUCCUGGUGUAGCGGUGAAAUGCGCAGAUAUCAGGAGGAACACCGGUGGCGAAGGCGGUGGUCUGGGCCGGAACUGACGCUGAGGAGCGAAAGCGUGGGGAGCGAACAGG